This 458-nucleotide ribosomal RNA is filed under the name uncultured Desulfarculus sp. RNAcentral describes it as "bacterial SSU rRNA". It matches the Rfam family "Bacterial small subunit ribosomal RNA", at positions 346 to 795 of the family's 1533-position model. Lineage: Bacteria; Pseudomonadati; Thermodesulfobacteriota; Desulfarculia; Desulfarculales; Desulfarculaceae. The record is from RNAcentral.
GGGCUGCAGUGAGGAAUCUUGCGCAAUGGGGGAAACCCUGACGCAGCCACGCCGCGUGGGUGAAGAAGGCCUUCGGGUCGUAAAGCCCUGUCAGGUGGGAAGAACCGCAACCUAGUCAAUACCUGGGUUGCCUGACGGUACCACCAAAGGAAGCACCGGCUAACUCCGUGCCAGCAGCCGCGGUAAUACGGAGGGUGCAAGCGUUGUUCGGAAUUACUGGGCGUAAAGCGCGUGUAGGCGGACCGAUAAGUUGGGAGUGAAAGCCCUGGGCUUAACCCAGGAAGUGCUUCCAAUACUGCCGGUCUUGAGUUCCGGAGAGGGUGGUGGAAUUCCCGGUGUAGAGGUGAAAUUCGUAGAUAUCGGGAGGAACACCAGUGGCGAAGGCGACCACCUGGACGAGAACUGACGCUGAGACGCGAAAGCGUGGGGAGCAAACAGGAUUAGAUACCCUAGUAGUC